RNAcentral lists this long non-coding RNA (7907 nucleotides) under Mytilus galloprovincialis (Mediterranean mussel). The record is from RNAcentral. Lineage: Eukaryota; Metazoa; Mollusca; Bivalvia; Mytilida; Mytilidae.
GUCUGUUUCCCGGCCGUUAUUGAAAUUCUUGACAAUACUUGUAUAUUCUGUAUAUACUGAAUGUUUUACGGAGGGGACCAACCUACUGACUCAGGAACCUUGUAUAUUAUAUACCUCGGUUUACAGACGUUUAAUAAACUGGAUCCCUGUUGUGUUCACUUAUCGAUACACUACGAUGGAAUUACGGACCAGUUUAACAUAAACAUGGUAAAUAGAUAGACAGCUGAUAAUCAUAAUUGAUUAAGAAAUAACCUGGAAGAAGAAAUGAGUUAACUAUUGAUUAUAACAGAGACGAGAAUGCCAUCGUGUUUGUUCUGCUAAAAAAAGCAGGAACAUUGGAGUUUAUGGUUAGAUUUUAAAUAUUUAUUGUCUCCAAACUGGGUAAAUUUGAUAUGGUAACACCCCCCCUUUUUUUUAAUAACUCGAGAACCACACAUCGCGCUCGCUUAACAAAGUAACAAUAAGAAAUAAUUAUUGUUAGUUUCAAGAAUAAUUAAUAGUCAAAACUUAUCCCCUCCCCGACAUCAAAGGAAGUUAAAUGUAUUAUCCCAAAAUUAGACCAAAUUAUUAUGAUAUAAGGACGUCUUGACAGGCUAUUAUUUUAUUUUGUUUUGUUGGGGUUUUUUUUGCUUUGACGUCUUCCUCCUGUAUGAAAAAAACAUAAUAGACCCCCCCCUUUUUUCCCCAUAAUAUAGAUUUUUAAAAAGUCAUAAUUAUUUGGACUACCCCUGAAUAUAUUUCAGACAGACUCUUCUCUAAAAAAAUGUAAACAUGAUUUGAGAGAAAUCUUUGGAAUAGUUUUUUAAAUGAUUUAAUUAUUAUGUCAUGUAUAUGGGUCAUUUUCAAAAAAUGUCGAAUUUUCAGUACACCCAUGCUAAAAUUUGUAUUUCUAAUGGAAAUUUCAGUUGUAAUGGUUUAAUUGAAAGCUUGUCGUAUUUGUGAUUCAGAACAUUAAUAAUUAACACACCUUACAUCUAUUUUGAUAAGAUUAAACUGCAUUUUAAGUCCGAUUUUGGGGUAUUUGUGUGCGUACAUUGUCAGAAAAACACAUUUCAAAUGAUUUUUUUCCGAUUUUCUGAUCGCCUUGAUAUCUGCAAAAGGGACUUUUUAAGACCGUUAAUUAUAAUUCUAACGAAAAAUCGUAGCUUCUUUAUCAUUGUAUGUAACAGAUUAUCUACAAACUAAAUUCAAUUAGCGUACAGGAGGUUCAUGUCUAUCCUGUUACCGCUACUUAAAUCAGUCGUUAAAUUAUUCUCCCUAUGAAUGUUGAAUCAGUCAGUGUUAAUUUCAAAAAUGCAAAGUAAUCUUUACAUUUAAAACGCCCCGUUUCUUGAACGACAGUGCAGAGAAAAGCAAUUUCAAGACAUUUAGUGAAAAAAAUAGAGCGUACUUUUUUUCAUGUCUAUGCUGUUACCAACCAUUUUGAUUAAUUACACUAACAGUAUGGUUGUAAAAAGUGCAAUAACGUGUUGGAAACCAAAUUCACAAUAGAAAACCAUAAUCACUUCACCAAAGGGAGUAGUUAUUCACAACAGCAAUCAAAACGAAAGAAAUUUGUCUAUCCUGUUUUGUCUAUCCUGUUACUAUGGUUGCUAUGGUUACAGUAACAGGAUAGACAAUUAUAGACACAAACGUCGUUAAAUUUUUUAUCUUAGCACGUAGGUGGAAAACGAAUGAAAUAUUUCAUUGUUUGAACACAUCUUAAGGUUAUAACGUCUUAAUCUUCCCAAUUAACCAUUUGCAGGUGCAAUACUGAUAUCGGUAACAGGAUAGACAAAAAGGUAACAGGAUAGACUUUUAUAUAGUGAUAUAUCAGAAACGUACGUUCCUGUUACCAAAGAAAUAAAGAGAAAAGUAAAUUAACUUAUGAGGGAUUUACUUGAUGUUGGGUUUAUUUGAAAGGGUGAAAAAGGCCGAACAAUAUAAAUUGCUAUCUUAGACUUGCAUUACUGGUGGUAAUUUUUAUAACCUUUGAAAACCAAUUUUUAGAGCCAUUUUUCAGUACAACCUAGAAAAUUGGCAAAUAAUCUAUUAUUUUACAGAAUGAAUAUAUAUAGAAGUUUAUUCUCUUGAAAACCAUCUAAUUGGUAACGUAAAACAAGCUUAACAUUUUAUCUAAACCUUUUCUUAAUAACCCAAAAUUUCUUUUGAAAAUAGUAACAGGAUAGACAAAAUAUUGUACCACCGACCAAAAAAUGUUUCUAGAUAUUCUUGUAUGACAUCAUUAAGAUUGCAUCUUUAAUAUGUUGUUCUUAAAGUACUGUUUGUUUUGAUUUGCUUAUGUAGAGGGUUGUUUGAAUAGUACUUAAUAAAUUUCAAUUUCAAAAUUCGACAUUUUUUGAAAAUGACCCAUAUAAUUAACAUUAAUAUAGUUAUAAACUGAGACUACUAGUAUAACACAUAGUGUUAUAGUAGUCUCAGCUAUAAACUUUCCAUUGUAUUGACCAAUAUGACUAACUCAUAUGCUCUUUCCCAUAAAUGUCACAAUAUCAAUAUAUUACAGUAAAACUGAUAGUUUGAUGACAUUGUUUAAGACUAUUGACCUCAGGUCAGCCUAAACUGAGUUUAAAACUGUAAUUUAUUCAUUAAAACAGUUCAAGACAUGUACCUUCUGAAAUGUGAUUGCAUCAAAAUUAAACCUAAGGCAUAACAUACUUAGUGUGCAGGAAGUGCCACCAAAUAAAUACUGAUUUGUAAAAUUAGAUGAUGAUAUUUGUGAAGUCAAAGAUAUUAUAGCUAGUUAUAACUGGUUUUAGAUAUAAAUCUGAGUAAAAGGUUGAUUUAUAUGUGCUCUUUCAUGUUUAGAUUAUAAUUUAAAUUUAAUCUUUUGAAGUUUUUUUAUAAUAUUAAGACAUUAAAAUCACAAUUAUUUAUUUAUACACAAAAAAUAAUUUUUGUCCUUUUUUAGUUGAAUGACUGUACACAAACAUUAUACACACAUAAUUUUGAUAAUUCUGUAAUGUUUUUUUUUCUAUAGCCCCAGAAUGUGACAAAAGACUUAUUAAUCCAGAUUUACAAAAAAUAGAAAUAGUUCAGCUACCAUAAGACUGCUAUGACAAAAAUUCUGCAGUUUCCAGAAUUUGAGGUAGAGUAUAGUUAGGAAUAGUUUGAUUAUGCAGAUGCUUAGUUUGCCAUAAACAAUUAUGCCCUUGAUACAAAAAGCAGGAAACAAAAAAGUAUGAAAAUAGUUGAAAAAGUAAUCAUUAUUACCUAGUCAUAUACUGUAAAUAGAAAAAGAGAAAAGCACUGGUUAUGAUUUGGUAUUUUUAAUAGCAUUAUCAUUUGUCCAUAACUUGGAAUAUAUACUGGAUUGAGCUUGACAUUUAUUUAAUAUCAUUGACACAUGGUUGCAAGAAAUGAAAGAUGGUAAUUUAAACCUAGCAAUUUUAUUAAGAUUUAAAAAAAAGUUUUUGAUUUGGUAGAAUAUGACUUUCUUUGUUUAAAGCUCGACAUGUAUGGAUUUAGUGAGACUACUGUUAGUUUUUUUAAGUCGUACCUGAAUAACAAAAGGUAUACAUUUGUAAUGUUAACUCUGAACAACAACAUGUAAAAUUUGGUGUUCCCAAUGUUCUAUACCUUGUCCUCUAUUGUUUGUGCUAUUUAUAAAUGACCUUCCCUUAUGCAUUAAAAAUUUGUGAAACAGACCUAUAUCGUUGUAUAUGCUGAUGACACCACUAUUCAUAAAUCAGGGGAAACAUCUAGAAAAUAUAAAUGAUGAUGUUCAAGAAGAUUUAUACAGGGUUGAAGAGUGUGUGUAAAAUGAAUAACAUGUUCAUAGAUGCAAAUGAAACAAAAUGUUUUGAUUACUGGAACAAAGCAGAAACUAUUCAGACUUUUCAACCAAACUUGAUAAUAAUUAAAGUAUUACAAAAUUCUUCAUGUGAAAAAUAUUAGUUUCAAAAAUUGACAGCCCACUAAGUAACUGGAGAAAUCAAAUUGACCAAGGUUGUGCUAAUAUAUCAUCCAGAAUAUACCAUCUUUCUUAAAUACAUUUUUUUUUAUAUAACUGCAAGAAAACAUAAUACAAUGGGUGUUCUGCCCCUAAUUGACUACUGUUGUAUUAUUUGGGAUGAAUGUAAAAAUUGAGGGAUAACAAGAAUUUUAAAAAUCCAAAAAAAGGGCAGCAUGAUAAAUUCUAGAUGCAGAUCCGUUAUCCCUCUUGGUAUAUAGGAGCACUAUAUUCUAUGUUAACCCCGACAGUAGGUAUAAACAAAUACUGUUGAUAGACGGUAUAUAGGAGCACUAUAUUCCAUGUUAACCACCGACGAGGUAUAGACAAAUACUGGUUGAUAGACGUAUAUAGGAGCACUAUAUUGUAUGUUAACCACUGACGGUAGGUAUAGCCAAAUACUGUUGAUAGACGGUAUAUAGGAGCACUAUAUCUUAUGUUAACCACCGACGGUAGGUAUAAGACAAAUACUGGUGAUAGACGGUAUAUAGGAGCACUAUAUUGUAUGUUAACCACCGACGGUAGGUAUAAACAAAUACUGUUGAUAGACGGUAUAUAGGAGCACUAUAUUGUAUGUUAACCACCGACGGUAGGUAUAGACAAAUACUGUUGAUACGGUUAAAGGAGCACUAUAUUGUAUGUUAACCACCGACGGUAGGUAUAGACAAAUAUGUUGAUAGACGGUAUAUAGGAGCACUAUAUUGUAUUUAACUACCGACUAGUAGACAAUACUGUUGAUAGACGUAUAUAGGAGCACUAUAUUGUAUGUUAAACCACCGACGGUAGGUAUAGACAAAUACUGUUGAUAGACGGUAUAUAGGAGCACUAUAUUGUAUGUUAACUACCGACAGUAGGUAUAGACAAAUACUGUUGAUAGACGGUAUAUAGGAGCACUAUAUUGUAUGUUAACUACCGACAGUAGGUAUAGACAAAUACUGUUGAUAGACGGUAUAUAUAGGAGCACUAUAUUGUAUGUUAACCACCGACGGUAGGUAUAGACAAAUACUGUUGAUAGACGGUAUAUAGGAGCACUAUAUUGUAUGUUAACUACCGACAGUAGGUAUAGACAAAUACUGUUGAUAGACGGUAUAUAGGAGCACUAUAUUGUAUGUUAACCACCGACGGUAGGUAUAGACAAAUACUGUUGAUAGACGGUAUAUAGGAGCACUAUAUUGUAUGUUAACUACCGACGGUAGGUAUAGACAAAUACUGUUGAUAGACGGUAUAUAGGAGCACUAUAUUGUAUGUUAACUACCGACGGUAGGUAUAGACAAAUACUGUUGAUAGACGGUAUAUAGGGAGCACUUAUAUUGUAUGUUAACCACCGACGGUAGGUAUAGACAUAUACUGUUGAUAGAUGGUAUAUAGGAGCACUAUAUUGUAUGUUAACUACCGACGGUAGGUAUAGACAAAUACUGUUGAUAGACGGUAUAUAGGAGCACUAUAUUGUAUGUUAACUACCGACAGUAGGUAUAGACAAAUACUGUUGAUAGACGGUAUAUAGGAGGCACUAUAUUGUAUGUUAACCACCGACGGUAGGUAUAGACAAAUACUGUUGAUAGACGGUAUAUACAUGUAGGAGCACUAUAUUGUAUGUUAACCACCGACGGUAGGUAUAGACAAAUACUGUUGAUAGACGGUAUAUAGGAGCACUAUAUUGUAUGUUAACUACCGACAGUAGGUAUAGACAAAUACUGUUGAUAGACGGUAUAUAGGAGCACUAUAUUGUAUGUUAACUACCGACGGUAGGUAUAGACAUAUACUGUUGAUAGAUGGUAUAUAGGAGCACUAUAUUGUAUGUUAACUACCGACAGUAGGUAUAGACAAAUACUGUUGAUAGACGGUAUAUAGGAGCACUAUAUUGUAUGUUAACCACCGACGGUAGGUAUAGACAAAUACUGUUGAUAGACGGUAUAUAGGAGCACUAUAUUGUAUGUUAACCACUGACGGUAGGUAUAGACAAAUACUGUUGAUAGACGGUAUAUAGGAGCACUAUAUUUAUGUUAACCACCGACGGUAGGUAUAGACAAAUACUGGUGAUAGACGGUAUAUAGGAGCAACUACCGACAGUAGGUAUAGACAAAUACUGUUGAUAGACGGUAUCAAAGAGCACUAUAUUGUAUGUUAACCAGCGACGGUAGGUAUAGACAAAUACUGUUGAUAGACGGUAUAUAGGAGCACUAUAUUGUAUGUUAACUACCGACAGUAGGUAUAGACAAAUACUGUUGAUAGACGGUAUAUAUAGGAGCACUAUAUUGUAUGUUAACCACCGACGGUAGGUAUAGACAAAUACUGUUGAUAGAUGGUAUAUAUAUAGGAGCACUAUAUUGUAUGUUAACUACCGACGGUAGGUAUAGACAAAUACUGUUGAUAGACGGUAUAUAGGAGCACUAUAUUGUAUGUUAACUACCGACAGUAGGUAUAGACACAUACUGUUGAUACACGGUAUAUAGGAGCACUAUAUUGUAUGUUAACUACCGACGGUAGGUAUAGACAAAUACUGUUGAUAGACGGUAUAUAGGAGCACUAUAUUGUAUGUUAACUACCGACAGUAGGUAUAGACAAAUACUGUUGAUAGACGGUAUAUAGCGAAUUACAGACAAUAUUGUAGUAGUUACACUUACCGACUAUUGUAUUAGUUAAUGUAUAGACAAAUACUACGUAUAGGAGCACUAUAUUGUAUGUUAACUACGGUAGGUAUAGACAAAUACUGUUGAUAGACGGUAUAUAGGAGCACUAUAUUGUAUGUUAACUACCGACAGGUAGGUAUAGACAAAUACUGUUGAUAGACGGUAUAUAGGAGCACUAUAUUGUAUGUUAACUACCGACAGGUAGGUAUAGACAAAUACUGGUUGAUAGACGGUAUAUAGGAGCACUAUAUUGUAUGUUAACCACCGACGGUAGGUAUAGACAAAAAUACUGUUGAUAGACGGUAUAUAGGAGCACUAUAUUGUAUGUUAACUACCGACAGUAGGUAUAGACAAAUACUGUUGAUAGACGGUAUAUAGGAGCACUAUAUGGUAUUGUAUGUAGAGACAAUACUAUUGGUAUAUGGUACACUAUAUGUAUGUUAACUACGACGGUAGGUAUAGACAAAAUACUGUUGAUAGACGGUAUAUGGAGCACUAUAUUGUAUGUUAACCACCGACGGUAGGUAUAGACAUAUAUACUGUUGAUAGAUGGUAUAUAUAGGAGCACUAUAUUGUAUGUUAACUACCGACAGUAGGUAUAGACAAAUACUGUUGAUAGACGGUAUAUAGGAGCACUAUAUUGUAUGUUAACCACCGACGGUAGGUAUAGACAAAUACUGUGUGAUAGACGGUAUUAUAGGAAGCACUAUAUUGUAUGUUAACCACCGACGGUAGGUAUAGACAAAUACUGUUGAUAGACGGUAUAUAGGAGCACUAUAUUGUAUGUUAACCACCGACGGUAGGUAUAGACAAAUACUGUUGAUAGACGGUGUAGCACUAUAUGUAUGUUACCACCGACGGUAGGUAUAGACAAUACUGUUGAUAGACGGUAUAUAGGAGGACUGUAUUGUAUGUUAAACACCGACGGUAGGUAUAGACAAAUACUGUUGAUACGCGGUAUAUAGGAUAUUGUAUUUUAUGUCAAACAUCGACGAUAGGUAUGGACAAAUCCGACAAAUACUGUAUACAGACAGUGUAUAGAAGUACUGUAUUUGUAUGGUAACACUGACGGUUGGUAUGGACAAUUUCUGUAUCAUGCAUCAAUUGUAAAUAAAGUAUCAUGUGAUUGACACAGGCUCAUUGAAGCCUCUAGUUUUGAUAUUAUUAAUGUGGAGAUCUGGUCUAAUUUAUCAUUUUCUCUAUUACAUGCAUGAUAACUGCAACAAUUGAAUUGAAAUAAAAGUGAUAAUAUUUCUGUUGUAGGUUAUCAAGAUUUAGUGUUUCCAUACAAGUGACAAAGAUUGAACAACAAAAACAUCUCAAACUUU